UAAUUGUCCUUUGUUGGUAGAAAGGACUUGGCUUGUCUUUGAUGAGACCUUGGACUUGUACUUUUGGGUUGAUGCUGGAAUAAGUUAAGACUUUGAGGAAUUGUUGGAAAGACAUAAUUGUGUUUUGAGUUGUGAGAACAUGAGAUUUGGGAGGGGCUAAGGCAGAACUAAAUGGUUUGGCUAUGUCUCCACCCAAACCUUAUCUUGAAUUGUAGCUCCCAUAAUCCCCACAUGUCACAGAAGGAACCCUGGAAAAGAUAAUUGAGUCAUGUGUGCAGUUACUCCAUGCUAUUCUCCAGAUAAUAAGUUCUCAUGAGAUUUGAAGGCUUUAUAAGGAGCUUCCCC
Molecule: long non-coding RNA, 345 nt
Organism: Sapajus apella (tufted capuchin)
Lineage: Eukaryota; Metazoa; Chordata; Mammalia; Primates; Cebidae
Exons: 3
Source: RefSeq, a predicted model, not a curated record